This 450-nucleotide ribosomal RNA is filed under the name Hesione picta. RNAcentral's name for it is "partial 16S ribosomal RNA". It matches the Rfam family "Bacterial large subunit ribosomal RNA", at positions 1819 to 2536 of the family's 2925-position model. The record is from RNAcentral. Lineage: Eukaryota; Metazoa; Annelida; Polychaeta; Phyllodocida; Hesionidae.
UGCCUCAUGAAUCAUAAAUAUAAGGUAUAUCCUGCCCGGUGAAUUUAAAUUUAAACGGCUGCGGUACCCUGACCGUGCAAAGGUAGCAUAAUAAUUUGCCUUUUAAUUAGAGGCUAGAAUGAUAGGAAAAACGAGAGGCCAGCUGUCUCCUUUUUACUAUACAAGAAUUUGAGCUUCUAGUGAAGACGCUAGAAUAAAAGUGAAGGACAAAAAGACCCUAUUGAGUUUAAUCUUUUACCAUAAUAUUUUCUUAACCUCCAGGCUGAGAGAAUAUAUAUGAGCUAGAUUUGGUUGGGGCAACCAGAGAUCAACUAAACCAUCUCUCUUAACAAAAGAUAUCUAUUAAAUUAACCAAUAAAUUUUAAUAAGAAAUCAACUACCAUAGGGAUAACAGGCUAAUCCUCCUAGAGAGACCACAUUGACAGGAGGGGUUGGCACCUCGAUGUUGGC